This 497-nucleotide ribosomal RNA is filed under the name uncultured bacterium. RNAcentral describes it as "partial 16S ribosomal RNA". It matches the Rfam family "Bacterial small subunit ribosomal RNA", at positions 30 to 507 of the family's 1533-position model. The record is from RNAcentral.
AUUGAACGCUGGCGGCAGGCCUAACACAUGCAAGUCGAGCGGAUGAAGGGAGCUUGCUCCUGGCUUCAGCGGCGGACGGGCGAGUAAUGCCUAGGAAUCUGACUGGUCGUGAGGGCUAAGGUACGGACACGGGAGCUAAUCUCGCAUCCGUCCUGAUGGUGAACGGGGGGGAUCUUUGGACAUCACGGUAUCUGCUGAGACUAGGACGGGGUUGCGCGUCGGAUUAGCUAGUUGGUAAGGUAAAGGCCUACCAAGGCAACGAUGCGUAACUGACCUGAGAGGAUGAUCAGUCACACUGGAACUGAGACACGGUCCAGACUCCUACGGGAGGCAGCAGUGGGGAAUAUUGGACAAUGGGCGAAAGCCUGAUCCAGCCAUGCCGCGUGUGUGAAGAAGGUCUUCGGAUUGUAAAGCUCUUUAAGUUGGGAAGAAGAACAGUAAGUUAAUACCUGGCUGUUUUGACGGUACCAACAGAAUAAGCACCGGCUAACUUCGUG